AAAAAGAUAAGCUAACUAAGCUACUGGGAUCAUACACCAUUUAUAAAGGUUUUAAUCUUUUUCUUUUUA
This 69-nucleotide transfer RNA is filed under the name Limnophyes minimus. RNAcentral describes it as "tRNA-Met". It matches the Rfam family "tRNA". From Rfam's summary of the family: Transfer RNA (tRNA) molecules are approximately 80 nucleotides in length. Their secondary structure includes four short double-helical elements and three loops (D, anti-codon, and T loops). Further hydrogen bonds mediate the characteristic L-shaped molecular structure. tRNAs have two regions of fundamental functional importance: the anti-codon, which is responsible for specific mRNA codon recognition, and the 3' end, to which the tRNAs corresponding amino acid is attached (by aminoacyl-tRNA synthetases). tRNAs cope with the degeneracy of the genetic code in two manners: having more than one tRNA (with a specific anti-codon) for a particular amino acid; and 'wobble' base-pairing, i.e. permitting non-standard base-pairing at the 3rd anti-codon position. RNAcentral also lists the same sequence under 1 other name. The record is from RNAcentral. Lineage: Eukaryota; Metazoa; Arthropoda; Insecta; Diptera; Chironomidae.